RNAcentral lists this ribosomal RNA (468 nucleotides) under uncultured bacterium. Its description in RNAcentral is "partial 16S ribosomal RNA". It matches the Rfam family "Bacterial small subunit ribosomal RNA", at positions 28 to 507 of the family's 1533-position model. The record is from RNAcentral.
GACGAACGCUGGCGGCGUGCUUAACACAUGCAAGUCGAACGGAAAGGCCCUGCUUGUGUGGGGUGCUCGAGUGGCGAACGGGUGAGUAACACGUGAGUAACCUGCCCUUGACUGUGGGAUAACUUCAGGAAACUGGGGCUAAUACCGGAUAGGAGCGCCUGCUGCAGGGUGGGGGUUGGAAAGUUUCGGCGGUUGGGGAUGGACUCGCGGCUAAUCAGCUUGUUGGGGGGGUAGUGGCUAACCAAGGCUUUGACGGGUAGCCGGCAUGGGAGGGUGACCGGCCACAUUGGGACUGAGAUACGGCCCAGACUCCUACGGGAGGCAGCAGUGGGGAAUAUUGCCCAAUGGGCGGAAGCCUGAUGCAGCAACGCCGCGUGCGGGAUGACGGCCUUCGGGUUGUAAACCGCUUUCGCCUGUGACGAAGCGUGAGUGACGGUAAUGGGUAAAGAAGCACCGGCUAACUACGUG